This 253-nucleotide ribosomal RNA is filed under the name uncultured bacterium. RNAcentral's name for it is "partial 16S ribosomal RNA". It matches the Rfam family "Bacterial small subunit ribosomal RNA", at positions 524 to 776 of the family's 1533-position model. The record is from RNAcentral.
UACGAAGGGGGCUAGCGUUGCUCGGAAUGACUGGGCGUAAAGGGCGCGUAGGCGGCUUACAUAGUCAGGCGUGAAAUUCCUGGGCUCAACCUGGGGGCUGCGUUUGAUACGUGUAGGCUUGAGUUCGGAAGAGGGUCGUGGAAUUCCCAGUGUAGAGGUGAAAUUCGUAGAUAUUGGGAAGAACACCGAUGGCGAAGGCAGCCCCCUGGGUUGACACUGACGCUCAGGCACGAAAGCGUGGGGAGCAAACAGG